RNAcentral lists this ribosomal RNA (494 nucleotides) under uncultured Bacteroidota bacterium. Its description in RNAcentral is "bacterial SSU rRNA". It matches the Rfam family "Bacterial small subunit ribosomal RNA", at positions 224 to 715 of the family's 1533-position model. The record is from RNAcentral. Lineage: Bacteria; Pseudomonadati; Bacteroidota.
GAUGAGCAUGCGUCCCAUUAGCUAGUUGGUAAGGUAACGGCUUACCAAGGCAACGAUGGGUAGGGGUCCUGAGAGGGAGAUCCCCCACACUGGUACUGAGACACGGACCAGACUCCUACGGGAGGCAGCAGUGAGGAAUAUUGGUCAAUGGGCGCAAGCCUGAACCAGCCAUGCCGCGUGCAGGAUGAAGCAUCUAUGGUGUGUAAACUGCUUUUGUACGAGAAGAAACACUCCUUCGUGAAGGAGCUUGACGGUAUCGUAAGAAUAAGGACCGGCUAACUCCGUGCCAGCAGCCGCGGUAAUACGGAGGGUCCAAGCGUUAUCCGGAAUCAUUGGGUUUAAAGGGUCCGUAGGCGGUUUUGUAAGUCAGUGGUGAAAGCCCAUCGCUCAACGGUGGAACGGCCAUUGAUACUGCAAGACUUGAAUUAUUAGGAAGUAACUAGAAUAUGUAGUGUAGCGGUGAAAUGCUUAGAGAUUACAUGGAAUACCAAUUG